AAUUGCUGAUGCUGUCUCCUUGCAG
RNAcentral lists this non-coding RNA (25 nucleotides) under Cricetulus griseus (Chinese hamster). The record is from RNAcentral. Lineage: Eukaryota; Metazoa; Chordata; Mammalia; Rodentia; Cricetidae.